Molecule: long non-coding RNA, 6966 nt
Organism: Mesocricetus auratus (golden hamster)
Lineage: Eukaryota; Metazoa; Chordata; Mammalia; Rodentia; Cricetidae
Exons: 3
Source: RefSeq, a predicted model, not a curated record
CACCACUGCCCUAUCUCCUGUUUCUUGUCUAUUUCUUUCCUGAAUCCACACUCCCCUUCUCAGGAACAUAUGGACUCGUCAGCAGGAGUGGACAAAGGGGCUCCUAGGUCUGAAUGGUGAGUCUCCAACCAAGAUUUGUAUAGUAAAGGCUUAGUACUCAGGGUGGUGGUGGAUGGUGGUAUUAGUAGGUAGUAGAAACUUUAUGAGGCUAAAGAUCUUUAGCUCAUUGGAGGCUUCCUUGUUUCUAUUCUGUGGACAUCCAAUUAUCUGUCUGUUCCUAACAUUCUCCCACCAUUGCCAACUGCCAUGAAGUGAAGCAGUCAAUGAGCCUUGCUGAGCCUGCCGUCCCUACCCUAUUUGGAAUUUGCGCCUUCAAAACUGUAAGCUAAAUAUAUCAUUUUUCUUUUUAUAAGUUAGCUGCCUUGACUAUUUCUCUGUAGUAAUGCAAAGCUAAUACAAUAGUCUUUUGUGUGGUUAAAGUGGCACUCUUUAGGCAUUACUUUUGAUGGUUUUGAGAUCAUAGCAAAGAAUUUAUAGUUGUUCCCUCAGCUUCAACUUUGGGCCAUGUUUCCAUGACAGUGCCCUAGAUUUGACCUUUACUUUUAAGGAAUUUUUAAAUGGUUUGCUAUCUCUAGAAGCUGAGACUCUUCAAGUCCUAACUCCUCUCUAGUUAGCAAUUCUUUCCUCAGCUUAUCUCUCUCCUCUUGCAUUUUAUAAAGGGCUAAAGGGAGCCAGAUGGUUCCUUCAACAGGCUGUCUCGAAAUCUCCUUAGCUGGAUCACCCAGUUCUUUAUUUACAUGCUCUGCUCUGCACAUCACUACACACGACGACGACGAUGCUUUAAGAUCUCUGGCUCUACCUCACAGGAUUCAAAGACCUGUUUCCAACACAGUUUUUCUCACUUUAUUUUAAACCUCCACCAGAACAUGACUAUGGCCCUUAAAUUCUCCCCAGCUGCCUCCUUUGCCUAGUUCCAAAUUCAUGACUACAUUUUACCUAAUCCUUAUGGUUGUCUAUUGCAAUAUUACAAAGCACCCCAAAAUCUGGUCUAUUAGAAUAAUGAACACUUAUUAUCUCACACAAUUCCAGAGGAACAGGAAUCUAGGAAUAGCUUGGUUGAGAUUUUUGGGCUCAGGGUCUCUUAUGAGGCUUCAGUCAACUAUAAGCCAGGGCUGAGUGGGGCUGAAGGUUCCAUUUUUAGUCUUAAAGGGCUGUUGGCAAAAUGACUUCCAUAUAGGAACACAGAGUACACAGCAGGGAGAGAGAGAGAGAGAGAGAGAGAGAGAGAGAGAGAGAGAGAGAGAGAGAGAGAGAGAACACAUAACAUCCUUAUAAUCUGAUCUCAGAAGCUGCAUAGUGUUACAUCUGCAAUAUUGUAUCAGUCAUACAGAUGAAAUCAUAAAAAAUGGGGAUGGAGUGAAUACCUGAAGUUGAGAUUAUUAGGGAAUAAUUUUGGAGGGUAUCACAGGGUUAAAUGUCUCUCUUACCAGAGCCCAUUGAAAAGCAGCUGCAAUGCAAGAAUGAAGCAAAGAAAUAAAAAUCUUAACUUUUCUGUUAUUGAAAAAGCUAACUGGGGGAGGCUUGGAUAUGGACACAAAUGGUAUCAAUACUUGACCUCAGAAUUAGAACUGUUACCUAGAUAAGAAAGUAGAAGACAAUUAUUUUUUUAUCUCCUCCAGAGUUUAUCACAUAGACAGCAUGUGUGUGACUGGAGAAUCUACUUGGUGUGACUAGGAUAAUCUACAAGAGUAGUGACAAGUCAGAAUGAGCACUGAGAAACAACAUCGGUGUGCCUCUCUCCUCCUUCUUCCAGACAGGAGAACUGGGAGGGAAAAAUCUACUGUAACUCUCUCCGUUCUCCAGAAGAUCACCCCAGGUGUAACGAACGUGGUUCUCAAAGUUGAACAUGUCCAGUGCUGGAUCCCAUCUCUCAGAGAUCUGUAUUCCUUUACAAGUUCAUAGGAAAUGCUGACAUAGCUGCUCUGAGAACCCUAGUUUAACAUUAGCCUGACACCCACAGUGCCAUUUCUUACUUGCAAUCCCGUUAGUCUUUGUAACAAUAUAAGGCCGGCUCCUCAAUUUUCUGCAAUUGGGCCAGGUUUCCAUCCUCCUUGCCAUGGAGAACCAAUUUUCCAACAGGUCUGGCUCCAAAAUCUGUGCUCUUCCUUCUGCAGCAGGUUGUCAUCAAUUAUUAAGAACACAGCAUUAGUAGGAAGCUGAGACUAAACGGUAAUUUUCUAGAACUAUUUCCUGCCAGCUCCACCUCUGAUCUUCUUAUCCUGUGGUCGCAAACCCAGCCUGCUCCAUUUCACUUUGCAAAGCAGAUUGUAAGGCUGGGGAAAUAGCUGAGCUAGUGAAGCGCUUCUGUGUAAGCCCAAAGACCUGGGUUUGAUCCCCAGUGCCCACAAACAAAGCUGACCGUGGUGGAGACAGAUACAGGAGGAGACCCAGAGCUUGCCGGCCAGCCAGCCUAGCCAAAAUGGGGAACCCAAGACUGACCCCACACCUCCACAGAGGGAGCCCUCCAAGGACCACUGCCCUGAAGGAGCGUUUGUUUUCAGUUCCCUGAAAUUCUUGUCUUGGUCCCUUCAGACGCAGAGGCUGCACGCACCCUCAGAGUUCCACACUAUCCAUGUGGUUUCCCGCUCCUUGCUCCUUGUUCACACCUUUGUAAAUAAUACUCCCCUCUUGCAUAUGCUCAUUGGAUUUGCUGUUUCCCAUGACCCUUUGUGAGCAUUUCUAUGAGCACAGUUAGGAGUUUCGCUUUCCUCAAUCCAACCCGGUGACUUAGCUUAGGUCCUGGCCUUCUUCCUAGAACUAGGUAAGUCCAUGGACUUCCUGGUGCUAUCCAGAUGGUAGCCCUCCACCAGCACUCUUGGUUUAAAGGUGCAAAACACCCGCUCCUGGCCCCGUAUGUUUACUUUGUAGGUACACCAGAUGGCAGGAGAACGUGGAAGGUGCUGCUGGCAGAAUUCCUGUCAUCAAAAAUUCGUGCUGUAUUUUAGAACCCCACAAUUUUCUCCCUGACACCAGCCAUUUAUUCUGACAACAGAUUGACAAGGUGGUUCAGCAGGAAAAGGCCUUGCCAUCAGGCCUGACUACUUGUUUGGUCUUCAGGAGCCAUAUGGAAUAAGGAGAGACUCAAUUCCCAAAAGUUGUCCUCCAUCUCACCAACACAUUCUGUGGCACGAAUGCACCUAUCUCCACACAUACAAAAUAAAUAAAUCAGUAAGGUCAUAAAAAUAUCAAUGCCAAAUCUGCAAACCAAAUAAAUAAUAUUGGGCUGAUGGGCCUAAGUCAGUGUUUUCCAAUGGUCCCUGAGUGAUUUCACUAUACAGCUAAAAUUGACAACUCAAUGGUCUAAUUCAAACAUUUAGUAGAUUGGGAAAGCGAGAUUUGGAGAGCUUAAGUGACUUUUCAUUAUGUUUUUAAACUUGCCCUAUUCUAUAUGAUAGCCAUUCUCAACAUGUAGCUGUUAAAAUUUAAAUGUGUUCAAAUCAAAUAAAUUUAGAUUUGAGUUUCUGACCCAUAUUUCCCAAGUACUCAGUAAUCCACAUGUAGCUACUGGCUACCUUAUUAAACAGAAAGGAUGCAUAGGUAUCUGUCAAAACAGUACGUUCCCUUAGGUAUUGCUUUAAGAGAAGAGAGGUAAUUUUAUAUGUGUUCAUAAGCAUCUUUCUUUUUCUUUUCUUUUCUUUUUUUUCUUUUUUUUUUUUUGAGACAGGGUUUGUCUAUAUAGCCUUGGCUAUCCUGGAACUCGCUUUGUAGAACAGGUUGGCCUCCAACUCACAGAGAUCCACCUGCCUUUCCCUCCUGAGUGCUGGGACUAAAGGCAUGUGCCACCACUUCUUCCAUAAACAUCUUUCUUUGAAGUGUGGCAAAGCGUUGUCUUAUGCCUUGCUAAAGAUUUCUAUGUAAGCAUUAAUCAAUUUCAAAUUACAAGCUAUUAUUCCACAAUGUUUAGUAUAACACAGUAUUUUUAAAGCAAGAGUAUCUCACCAGUAGCAUGGAGCUCAAUAAAGCACCUAAUACCGUAAUAAAGAUGAAAGCUUCAUAGGCCAUCAUAGAUGCCACUCAAAUCCACAUCAAUCCACCUCUACCCCAAAACCCAUGGAUAAUAAUCCAAAAGAACCUGUUUCUUUGACUGAUGAGCAAAGCAUAUUGGAAGAAAUGGGAAAGUUACAAUUCCCACUGAGGGUCUGUUAGACCCAAAGCCAGUUCACAAGUGUGUCCAGACACAGCCUUGACCCCAAGAGUGCAUACAGGAAAGUGGUAGAGGGUAAAACCUUCUCCUGUGGAUAAAAAACAAGGAGGAACCAAGAGAAACUAAGUUUUCUCAUCCUUAGUAUAAUAAGAUUUAUCACCAGCAUUAUCAUGUUUUUAAAUGAGAGAACAGAUUUUUGUCCCUUAGAAUACCCUGGUCUCUUAGAAUAAACAUGCCCAGGACAACAGAGUUCCUGGAGCAGGUGCUGGUGCUGGCAGGAUUUCUGGUGAGUUGGUAGAAUUUUGGCAGUGCAACUAUCUUAAAAAAUUUGCUAGCUUUGUUUUUUUCAGUUGUGUUAUGAAAUUGAAAUUUAAUACCACUGUUUCUUGUGAAUACAUUGUUCCUUGUCAUGUGGCUCAGUGUUUCCCAUUCCCAAGUGUAUUACAUCAAGUCAUGAGCUAAACAUGCCUAAGAUUAAACUAGAGGAAGUCAGUUAGCCAAUAGCGUAAGAAGCCAAUCUUAGAGAGAUUACAGCGUCCCAAGCAUUUUACAGAGAUUGCAUCAUUUAAUUCCCACAACUCACAAUGAGUUAAGUACUAAUAUUAUUCUUUUACAGAUCCUAAAUGAUUUAGUUAAGGUCACACAGCUAAUAAGUGGUAGAAUUGAACUUUGAACCCAGGCAGUAGAGCUUUUAAAGGAAGCAUUUUACUGUUUUCACCAUGGACUUAAUAAAAAGAUCAUACUUCAUCUUUCAAGAUCAGAGACACAGGAAUGGACUGGUCAUCUGGGCAGGGAAAAAAACUCUCCCUAGUAACAAGAUGUGGAUGUGGGCUUGGAUAGCUGGGAUUCCAAGAUUUAAGACUGUUUUGUCAAAGAAUGGACUUCUAGUCAAUUUGACACUGAUCUUUCCUGUUCUCUGGCAACAGUAGUAGUUGCAAAAACCAGAGACUAGGAAAGAGAAGGGGAGGACAUAAAACAAAACAGCAGUAGCUGUAGGUGCUCCUCCACUGGUUAUGCAAUAUGCCCCAGUGUCUGGGCUCUGGGAAGACUGCGGGGGAGGUAAGGUUUCCUGCCCCAAGGUAGGGGGCCUUAGAUGGAGAGAUACCUGCAUUAAUUAGAUCGUUAUAUAAAACACCACCUUUCUUCAGGCCAUAUUCUCUUUGGUAACCUUUACAAAUCUCAGCGUGUUUCCACAUUUCAUUUACAAAUGCAAACAAGAAACCCAGUCAGCUCCAACAUUACUAGCAUCCCAGCUGGCACAACCCAAAUUAUUUUCUCACCCAGGCAGCAGCCUGAGGUUGUUAUCAGUAUCAGAAUGCUCUUUGGGUCAUUUUAUAGCCACUCUGUUUCUUUGCUCACUGAACCACAGACUAAUGCAACUUUCCCAAGUAGUCCUGUGUAAAGACAGCCCUUCGAACUUGCUUCUACAAAGCCUCAAGAGUUUUAUUUUUAUUUUUUCAAAGUGAGGCUUGGAUGGGCUUGAAGAGAUGACUCCAGAUGUUAAAAGUGCUCGCUGCCCUUGCGCAGGACCAGAGCUCAGCUCUCAGCACCCACAUUAAGAGGCUCACAACUUGCUGCAAUUCCAACUCCAACUCCAGGGGAUAUGACUCCCAGCCUCUACAGAGACAAGGUCUCAUGGAUCCCAGGUUUGCUUAAGUUGGAUAUGUUGUCAAGGAUGUCAAUGAACUUCAGAACUUCUUGCCUCCACCUCCAAAGUGCUGAAAUUUCAGGCACAAUAGGUUUUAUGUUAUUCUGGGAAUUGAAGCCAAGACUUUAUACAUGCUAGGCAAGCACUCUUUCAACGGAGUUACACCCCCAGCCAGCUCAUUUACUGUGACCCCUGAAUAAUAUCACAUUGUCUGGAUAUACCACAGUUUAUUUAUCCAUUCAUCUACUGUGGAGCAGCUGUUGUGAAAAACUUUAUGUGUGCAUAAAUUAUCAUUGUGUUUGGUUACAUAUGAAGAGUUUGAUUGUGGAUAAUUUGCCCAUAAUUUUUAGCUCAUUUACAUUAGGUAUAUAUCAUUUACAUUUUUUGAUUAAAUCUUCUUGUGUACAUACAAACUCAUGGCUGAUUAUGACAGUAUAUUGUGUGUUUCCCAUCACAGAAUAUGAAUAUGGGUAAUUUAUAAAGAAUAGAGUUAUUUCACAGAUUGUGAAGAUGGGGGUGGGGGGUGGGAAGGGGUUCUAAGAUGAAGUCACCAUUGGACUGUUCCUCUCAGGUUCCAAUAUGGCACCUUGUAGCUGCAUCCUCCAGAAGGCUGUUCUUACAUGGGAGAAGAACAAAGAACCCCAUGUGGCCCAUUAAAUUCAUUAAUGAAGGCAGAGUGAUCAGAACCCAAAGACCUUCUAAAGCACUACACCUGAAGAAGCGGUUGCACUGUGGAUGUAAGUUGCUGACACAUAAAUUUUGGAGGAGACAAACACAUUCAAACCAUAACAGGUAGUGUGUAUACUCGGUCCUGAGAGUCCCUGCUUGUUUUUGCUAGAUAAUUCAUGGAUUGUCUCAUUGUUUCUGGAAAGCUAAUAGACUGUGAAUUCACUACAAGUGCCUUUGUGCUGGGACUGACAGUGAGUGACAGCAGACAAGGUUGGGGCCCUGAGACACUCCUCAGGCAGCCAGCCUAAGAGCCAGAAAUCUGCAGUUGCCUUGGCAACAGCUGAAGUUUCCUGUCAUGGACUGAAAAGCACGAUGUCUCUUCAUUUGUGAAAAGUCUAUUUUACGCUCUCAAUCUGCCUGCAGCAUAAAUAUGCCAGGAAUGAGA